GUACUGUUGAAGAGUCCCAAACUAGGACGAAACAGCUUUGCAGUAC
RNAcentral lists this non-coding RNA (46 nucleotides) under Trichobilharzia regenti. The record is from RNAcentral. Lineage: Eukaryota; Metazoa; Platyhelminthes; Trematoda; Strigeidida; Schistosomatidae.